UACGGGGGGGGCAAGCGUUGUUCGGAAUUACUGGGCGUAAAGGGCGCGUAGGCGGUUCGCUAAGUUGGAUGUGAAAACUCUGGGCUCAACCCAGAGCCUGCAUCCAAAACUGGCGGGCUAGAGUUCUGGAGGGGGUAGCGGAAUUCCUGGUGUAGCGGUGAAAUGCGUAGAUAUCUGGAGGAACACCGGUGGCGAAGGCGGCAUCCUGGACCAAUUCUGACGCUGAGUGAGCGAAAGCCAGGGGAGCAAACGGG
Molecule: ribosomal RNA, 254 nt
Filed under: uncultured bacterium
Lineage: Bacteria
Description: partial 16S ribosomal RNA
Rfam family: Bacterial small subunit ribosomal RNA
Source: RNAcentral